UCGAGAAUCUUCGGCAAUGGGCGAAAGCCUGACCGAGCGAUGCCGCGUGCGGGAUGAAGGCCUUCGGGUUGUAAACCGCUGUCGUAGGGGAGAAAGGGUCGUUGAAGAAACGACUUUGAUCUAUCCUAGGAGGAAGUCCGGGCUAAGUUCGUGCCAGCAGCCGCGGUAACACGAACCGGACAAACGUUAUUCGGAAUUACUGGGCUUAAAGGGUGCGUAGGCGGUGCGGUAAGUGCGGUGUGAAAUCCCACGGCUCAACCGUGGAAUUGCGCUGCAUACUGCCGUGCUAGAGGGAGACAGGGGUAAGCGGAACUGAUGGUGGAGCGGUGAAAUGCGUUGAUAUCAUCAGGAACACCGGUGGCGAAAGCGGCUUACUGGGUCUCUUCUGACGCUGAGGCACGAAAGCUAGGGUAGCGAACGGGAUUAGAUACCCGAGUAGUCCCUGAGCGGGCUGGCAAGGCGCAU
RNAcentral lists this ribosomal RNA (465 nucleotides) under uncultured bacterium. Its description in RNAcentral is "bacterial SSU rRNA". It matches the Rfam family "Bacterial small subunit ribosomal RNA", at positions 355 to 825 of the family's 1533-position model. The record is from RNAcentral.